AUGUCCAGCCUCCACCUCCUCCGCCACCGCUCCUCCUCCUUCACUCCCACCUCGCCGCCCUCACCCUCCUGGUCUCCGCACGCCGCCUUUACCGCUGCCACAGAGCGCGUCCGCGCCGGGACGCUCAGCCCGGAAGACGCACACCACCUGUUCGACCAAUUGCUACAGCAGUCCACUCCGGUCCCCGAGCAAGCCCUGAACGGCUUCCUUGCCGCCCUCACCCGUGCCCGUGCGCCAGACACCGAAGUCUGCAGAGACGGCCCCUCCCUUGCCCUCACGCUCUUCAACCGCGUAUGGCGAGAAGAAGCCGGCCGGCGGGUGGCGCUGCCCACAGUCCGCACCUACAACAUUCUGAUGAACUGCUGCUGCCGCGUGCGUCGUCCGGACCUAGGGCUUGCCUACUUCGGGCGCCUCCUAAGGACCAGCCUCAAAACAAAUGAGGUCGUCGCCAACACCGUCCUCAUGUGCCUCUGCUGCGCGAAACGGACAGAUGAAGCAGUAAACGUGCUGCUUCAUAGGAUGUCUGUGCUCGGCUGUGUGCCUGAUGAGUUCUCAUAUAACAUAGUUCUGAAGAGCUUAUGCAAAGAGGGAAGGAGCCAGCAAGCGCUCAACCUGCUCCAUGUGAUGGCAAAAGGAGAUGGUUGCUCCCCCGACGUGGUGGCUUAUAACACGGUCAUCUAUGGCUUCUUUAAGGAAGGUGAAGUAGGCAAGGCAUGCAAUCUAUUCCAUGAAAUGAUGCGGCAAGGGGUUGUGCCUGAUGUGGUGACGUAUAGCUCGAUUAUCGAUGCACUGUGCAAGGCUGGAGCAAUGGACAAGGCAGAGUUGUUCCUUCGGCAGAUGGUUGAUAACAGUGUUCAGCCGGAUACGGUGACAUAUACUAGCAUGAUCCAUGGAUAUUCCACUUUGGGCCGCUGGAAAGAGGCGACUAAAAUGUUAAGAGAAAUGACAAGCAGGGGCCUUAUACCAAAUAUUGUCACUUGGAACUCGUUCAUGGCCUCCCUUUGCAAGCAUGGAAAAAGCAAAGAAGCUGCAGAAAUUUUCUUUUCCAUGGCUGCAAGGGGCCACAAGCCUGAUAUCGUCUCCUACACUACUCUUCUUCAUGGGUAUGCCAAUGAAGGAAGCUUUGCUGAUAUGAUGAAACUCUUUAAUUCAAUGGUAGGCAACGGUAUUGUAGCCAACUGCCAAGUUUUCAACAUAUUAAUUGAUGCAUAUGCUCAACGAGGAAUGAUGGACGAAGCUAUGCUCAUAUUUACUGAAAUGCCAGGACAAGGAGUCAAUCCAAAUGUAGUCACCUAUUCAAUUGUGAUAGCUGCACUUUGCAGAAUGGGUAGGCUGGCUGAUGCAAUGAAUAAGUUCAGUGAGAUGAUUGGUACGGGAGUACAACCGAACAUAGUUGUUUAUCACUCCCUAGUUCAGGGCUUAUGUACACAUGGUGAUUUGGUGAAAGCGAAGGUGUUGAUUUCUGAAAUGAUGAAUAAAGGUAUUGCUCGUCCAAACAUUGCAUUCUUCAGUUCAAUAAUGGGCAGUCUAUGCAACGAAGGAAGGAUUAUGAAUGCACAUGAUAUCUUUGACUUGGUUACAGACAUAGGUGUGAAACCUGAUGUUAUAACAUUUAAUAUGCUGAUGGUCGGAUAUUGCUUAGUUGGCGAGAUGGAGAAAGCAUUCAAGGUACUUGAUGCCAUGGUAUCAGUUGGCAUUGAGCCUGAUGUUGUUACUUAUAGCUCACUUAUUAGUGGCUAUUGUAAGACUGGAAGGCUCGACGAUGGUGUUACACUAUUCAGAGAAAUGUUGCAUAAGAGAAUUAAACCUGACACUGUUUCCUAUAACACCAUACUGGAUGGGUUAUUUAAUGCUGGGAGAACUGCUGCUGCAAGGAAAAUGUUCCAUGAGAUGAUCGAAAGUGGAGUAAUGGUGAGCAUUUCUACAUAUAAUAUAAUUCUUGGAGGACUUUGUAGAAAUAAUUGCAUGGAUGAAGCGAUCGUCCUAUUCCGGAAAUUACGUGCAGUGAAUGUGAAGUUCAAUAUCACAACACUCAAUACCAUCAUCAAUGCAUUAUACAAUGUUCAAAGAAGAGAAGAAGCUCAUGAUUUGUUUGCUGCAUUACCAGCCAGCCGGCUGGUGCCUAAUGCUUCUACUUACAGAGUAAUGAUAGAUAAUCUUCUAAAAGAAGGAGCAGUGGAAGAAGCUGACAGUAUGUUCUCAUCAAUGGAGAAGAGUGGUUGUGCUCCUAGCUCUCAUUUUUUAAAUUAUAUCAUCAGAAUGUUAUUGGAAAAAGGGGAGAUAGUCAAGGCCGGAAAAUAUAUGUCUAAAGUUGAUGGGAAGAUUAUUUUGCUUGAAGCUUCAACUACUUCAUUGCUGAUGUCCCUCUUCUCAAGGGGAGGCAAAUACCAGGAGCACAUACUCUUGCUCCCUGCAAAAUAUCAUUUUUUCAGUGGAGUGAACCACAGUUGA
RNAcentral lists this ribosomal RNA (2451 nucleotides) under Triticum aestivum (bread wheat). RNAcentral's name for it is "partial small subunit ribosomal RNA". Lineage: Eukaryota; Viridiplantae; Streptophyta; Magnoliopsida; Poales; Poaceae. The record is from RNAcentral.